UUGGUAAUCAAUACAUUUUUUAUUUUAUUUAUUUAUUUAACAUUUCAUUUUGGACACAGAGGCGGUCCAUAGAACAAUAAAAAUAAAAAACAAAAAAAUGCACAUAUACACUAUGAUGAAGACUAAUGACCUUAAAAUUGAUAUUAUUUUCAUUUACCAGUUCCACAUGCAUAGUUAUCCUAUUAAUUAAAAUCAAUAGAUUAACACUUUUUGUUUAGUUAUUUAUUUUUCUUCACCAACAGAAUUACUACCAGUAGGCUACUUGAUUUAAACUGGACUGUUGCUUAGCAACCCAAACAUUUUCCUGCACACAUGCUUAACAGUCAAUGGCUGUGUCCAAAAAGGAUCCAUAACCCCUAUAUAGGCAACUAUAUGGGGGUUAGGGCCAUUUUGAGAGGUGUUCGAAACCUGAGUGAUCAAUUCCAAUGCCCCAUAUAGGCGACUCAAAAUUUCCCAUAGAGCAUUGCAAAAUGUAGUGACUAUCUGAUGGUCACUCACCAGUAGUAGGCAUCCUGCUGUAAUGUUUUUAACAGUAUUCAGAGCACUUGGCUGAGGCAGAGUGAUUCAGAAAGUGAAAAGUCCCACUGAUGUUAUGCUCUGUAUCAACACUCAGGGAAUGCCUCUUAUCUAAUCAGAUCACUGAGUCAUAACUACUAUUAUUGUUCCUUUUAUGUAACAUAUAAGAGGUCAGUGAAACGUAUCCUGAGGUACUUCACACAGCACAAGCUGCCAAACUUUAACAGAAAAAAAGAAGUCUGAUGAAAAAUAUUGGAAUUCAGGAUCUUUACACGUGGGGCCAGCUGAGGUUUUUGACAGUGAUGUUUUCUCAGAAUUAAAAGUGACUGUCAGUCAAAAGUGUGUGUUGCAGAAUGUGUUAGGCAGCGUGAUGAUCAAAGUCUGUUAAGUGUAAAAACACACAUUCAUGGACCAACUGAGGUCUCAGCUGAGAGAAACAGUACAGAUUUAUUUAUAUGUUUACAAUCAGUGUCUUAAAGAAAAAAACACUCAAAGUGACCACAUCACUUAUACAAACAUACAGGCACAUUCACACAAACACCAUAGACUGUAUAAGGUGCACACACACACACACCUACGGACACACACACACACACACACAUACGAAAGCAUGAUAGAGACACCUGGCCUGUAAAUGUUGUUUACUGUACAUCUUGUGAACACCGUCCCAUCUAAAGCUGCCUCCCAGCAGCAGGAUGUGGUGGUGCGACACGUCCUCGCUCAACAACACCCACUUCCUAUGAGUUUGAUAAACAGCCCUGUGGUUUCACUCACUCUCCUCCUGCCCGUCAGACACACAGAGGAACACACGCACACACAAACACAUACACACAAGCACACAGCAGCUCUCCAGCAUCACCAUCUGCUAAUGUGACAUAUAACCAGAGUGAGUUAUUGUGCAUAAUGUUACCCAUGCUAUCAUGAGAUUUACUGUGACAAACUUUAUAAACGCCACCACAUUCAUUUAGGCAUCCAUAACUCAGCUGCUGCUCUCUUCACCCAUUUGGUGAAAGACUAGGAGGAAUGAGCACAAGAAUGCCCUCAAAUCAUAGUAGAAUUAAAGGAGGAUGUCAGCGUGUCACACUUGUUUUAGAGGGAGUGAUGUAAGUGGAUCUGAGUUACGUCCACCACCGGACAGACAGGUUCCACUUAAUGCCCGCCUGGAUGACCCUUAAGGUUGGUGAAACAAUGGCAGUAAAUAUACGAGGACCUCUCCUCUCUUCUCCUUUCCUCUCCUCUCCUCU
This 1760-nucleotide long non-coding RNA is filed under the name Xyrichtys novacula (pearly razorfish). The record is from RNAcentral. Lineage: Eukaryota; Metazoa; Chordata; Actinopteri; Labriformes; Labridae.